Molecule: long non-coding RNA, 564 nt
Organism: Terrapene triunguis (Three-toed box turtle)
Lineage: Eukaryota; Metazoa; Chordata; Testudines; Emydidae
Exons: 3
Source: RefSeq, a predicted model, not a curated record
CUGAAUUCAUUCAUAAUCCUUUUGAUGAAAUGACGUUUAUAGAGAUACUUAAGCUUUAAAGUAUAAUAAUCUCCAACCCAAGGGCCAUGUAUAAUAUCCAAAUGUCACCGCUAUGUUAUUUCCUCUUUAUAUUAUUUUCACCUACGAAGGCAGUCUCUUAAAAAAGCCCUGCCCAUUUGGAAAUUGGGGUGGGCACAUUUCUAGACAGUCCCUAUAGCACUUAAUGAUUGCUAGCUUUUCCAUGAUCAUCUUGGGAAUUAAGAGUAAAUCCAUCCCCACUCCACAGACUUUGAGACGGGGUGCCCUGCACUACUCGUUUCCUCCCUCCAGAGGGCGCCACUUGGACAGAAGCCAGCAGCAGCAGCCCAGACAAAGAUGUACAACGCCCUAAACGUUACUGUUCUUGCAAGGAGAGGCCCCACGGAGAGCACGGAGAGGAGUGGGAGUUUGUGUGGGUGCACAGUCUGAGCGGUUACCAAAGAAGAAACACACUCCGAGCAAUGGUCCCAGCUGUUCGUUAGCAGCGCCUAGCCAGCAAAAUGCAGCUCUUUUAACGUCCUCUGC